CAACUCACCCUUCGCAACCCGACCGUGUUGCUACAAGCAGUCAAGCCUGCGUGCCUCUCAGUCGGCCAAAGGUGAAAGGUGAAACGAGCGAAAUCGCUUCUCACCUUGGGGACGAAGACAGUGGAGAGCAGUAUAAAUACCUGACCGGUCCCCGGCGCACGAAAUCAAGAAGCCCCCUUACCUCGAGCAAGAAGCUCACGGCGAGAGAGAAGAGAGCGAGGGAAGGGGAGGAAUGCAUCUCUACAACGCAUGGCUUCCGGCGCCAGUGGCAGAGGAGACGAAGAGGGAGGCGGAGUCCUUCGCGGCCGUGGUGAGAUCCGUGAAGGAAUCGUGGCGGCCGGAUGAUCCCGACUCCGUCUACUCCACCCUCGAGUGGAUCUCCGUCAUCGACCUUUUCUUAAAAGCAAAAAGUGAAGUUUCUCCGGCAGAUGUAAAGGAGAUUGUGGAGUUUGGUUUGGACGUGUUUCAUGCAUCAGAGAACAAGCUUUAUGCUCAGGUUAGAUGGGGAAGUAUCUUAGUCAAGCUUCUGAGGAACCAUGGAAAGAAAUUGAAGAAGUCAAUUAGCAUUCAGUGGAGACCUUUUUAUGACACUUUGAUGCGUACGCACUUUAAAAGAAAUACCGGCCCUGAGGGAUGGAGAUUGAGACAGCAGCAUUUUGAAACUGUCACGUGCCUUAUCCGGUCCUGCCAGAAGUUCUUUCCUGCAGGUUCUGCUUCUGAAAUAUGGUCAGAGUUCAGGGCUUUAAUGGAAAAUCCAUGGCAUAAUUCAACCUUCGAAGGUGCUGGAUUUGUGAGACUGUUUCUACCUAUGAACUUGGAGAAUCGGAACUACUUUACGAGCGAUUGGCUUAAGCAGUGUCUUGAUCUCUGGGAUUCUGUACCAAAUUGCCAAUUUUGGGAUAUUCAGUGGGCUUCUGUCAUUGCACGUUGUAUAAAGAGUUGCAAGUCAAUUGAUUGGGAAGGUUCUUUGCCAGCACUUUUUACACGAUUCUUAAACAUGUUUGAGGUUCCCAUUUCAAAUGAGAAUGGAUCAUAUCCCUUCCCUUUAGUGGUCCCUAGGAAUACAAGGUUCUUGUUUUCCAGCAAGACAGGCGCACCUGCUGAGGCUAUAGCAAAGUCAAUUGUGCAUCUCUUAAAGCCUGGUAGUUUGGCUCAAGAGUACUUCGAGAGAUUGGCAAAAUUAUUAGAACAAUAUUACCAUCCUUCUAAUGGAGGUCGCUGGACCUACUCAUUGGAGCGUUUCUUGUGGCACUUGGUGAUUAGCUUCCAAAAGCGCCUUCAGGAUGAGCAGCUUAAGACAAGUGAAAGCAAACAGGUUGAUUCGUGUUUGGGAAAUCUAGAAAGGGCUGCUUUUGUCAAAGUGGUACUGAAAUUAAUUGAUCGUGGUCAGUAUAGUAAAAGUAAAUCCCUUUCGAAAACAGUUGCUGUUGCAACUUCAAUUUUGUCAUAUGUGGAGCCCUCUUUGGUCCUUCCAUUUGUUGCAUCCAGAUUUCAACUGGCCUUAGAGACUAUGACAGCUACUCACCAGUUGAAAACUGCUGUCACAUCAGUGGCAUUUGCUGGCCGUUCACUUUUUCUUGCUUCUUUUUCUGCUCCCCCUCAAACUGAUGACUGUGAUACUGCUGAUGCUUACAUGGAUCUUAUAGUAGUAUCUCUUUCGAAUGCAUUGCUUGGUAUGGAUGCUAAUGAUCCGCCAAAGACCUUAGCAACCAUGCAAUUAAUUGGUUCUAUUUUUUCCAAUCUAGCUAUGGUGGGUGGUAGUGAUGAUGGGCCUGCAUUCCUGCAAACCAUCCAUUUAUCGGAAUGGCUAGAUGAGUUCUUUUGUCGCUUAUUUACUCUGCUUCAACAUUUGGAACCAAGUAGUGUCGUGAGUGAGGGCAUCCAGACAUCAUUAAGAUCAGGAACGUUUCUUGUUAAGGGCAGUUCAUUCUAUUUCUGCAUGCUGGAAAUCCUGCUUGGGAAAUUGUCUGCACCUUUAUUUAAUCAGUCACUAAAGAAGAUUUCAAAGUUCGUCCACACAAAUAUCCUUCCUGGGGCUACUGUAGAGGUUGGACUUCUUUGUUGUGCCUGUGUUCAUUCUAAUCCAGAAGAGGCAGCAAUCCACCUUAUUAAACCAAUCCUAAUAGGUAUAACCACCUCAUUAAGAGAAAUGCCAGCUACAGCUUUUGGUGGAGGAUCUUCUGGUGCAUCAUCUUCUACCAAGGCUACACUUUCACCAGCCCUGGAAACAGCAGUUGAGUACCAUCUAAAAGUUUUGGCAAUAGCCAUCAGUUAUGGGGGUCCUGUGUUGCUUCAUUACAGGGAUGAACUGAAAGAUGCAAUUGCAUCAGCAUUUCGGGCCUUGUCAUGGAAGGUCAAUGGAGCUGGUGAUCAUGUCCUUCGCUCUCUCCUUGGAAGCCUGGUCCUCUUUUACCCCAUCAACCAGUACAAGCCUUUCUCUUGUCAGCAAGUUUCUUCUGUUUUGGAAGACUGGGUUUGCUCGAAAGAUUAUGGGAAUGGGAUAAAAAAGGAGAGCAAUUAUCUCCCCGAGUGGCACAUUCCUAGUCAAGAUGAACUCUCUUUUGCAAAUGAGCUUUUAGAUCUUCAUUUUCAAUCCGCUUUGGAUGAUCUGCUCAGAAUAUGUCAGACUAAGAUGCAUUAUGAGGCACGCAAUGAGAAGGAACACUUGAAGGUGACGUUUUUGCGCAUUUACUCUUCAUUGCGAGGCAUGAUGUCAUGCUUGCCGGAUAUGCGUCCAUCAUAUAGGAACAUAGGCACUGAAGAUAUCAAUCAUGGUAACUUUUUAAUUGCGGGAGCAGUUGGCUUGUCUGUUGGUAGUUCCGAAAUGAGGGAAAGAGCUGCUCAGCAUAUACAUGUAGCUUGCAAAUAUUUACUGAAAGAAAGAACCGAUGAUAGCAUACUUCUAAUACUUACCAUUCAUGUUAUGGAUGCUUUAGCAAAUUUUGGAAGCUUGGAAUAUGAAGAAUGGUCGAAUCAUAUUCAGGCAUGGAAGUUGGAAUCUGCUGCUUUAAUUGAGCCUCCAUGCAAUUUUAUUGUUUUUCCUCAUGCCCAAGGAAAGAAAAGGCCCAGAUGGGCACUCAUUGACAAGGCAUACGUGCAUAAUACAUGGAGAUCUUCACAAUCGUCAUAUCAUCAAUUUCGUACAGAUAGCAACAUCUCUCCUUCAGAGCAUGUGACUGUUCUUAUGGAGGAUCUUCUAGAUCUCUCUCUGCACAACUAUGAAACGGUUCGCUUGCUUGCUGGAAGAUCUCUUUCAAAGUUGCUCAAACGGUGGCCGGUAUUGAUUUCUAAGUGUGUUCUCACCCUAACUGGGAACUUGCAUGAUCCCAAAACACAAGAGCAUGCAAUCCUAGGCUCUUGCACGAUACUUGCAACACAAACUGUUCUCCGUCAUGUUACAACAGAUGCAGUUUCAUUCUCUUCAUUUGUCAUGGGUCUUUUAGCAAGCUCUCAUCAUGAAUCACUGAAAGCUCAGAAAGCUAUUACUGAGCUGUUUGUUACAUACAACAUCCACUUUUCUGGUAUAUCAAGGAGUUUUUUCGAGACUUCAGAUGGCCAGCUGGACAGGCCAGAAUUUGUAGAUUUGCAUUCUCAGAUAAGUUCCUUGAGCUUCAACACAACUGGCCUGCACUGGAGGUAUAAUUUGAUGGCUAACAGAGUACUACUUUUGUUAACUUUGGCUUCUAGAAGUGAUUCACCAUUAUCCGCCAAGAUUCUUGGGGAAACUGCAGGACAUUUUUUAAGAAAUUUGAAAAGUCAACUUCCUCAGUCGAGAAUACUUGCAAUCUCUGCUCUGAACACUCUAUUAGAGGGAGCACCACAUAAAAUCUCCAGUCAGGAACAGCAACUUUGCUAUGAUUAUCUCAAAGAAAAUAAAGAGUCAUCUGUUGGAGGAAUUCUGAAUCAGAUAUUAAGGGAGGAGGGAUUCUUCAAUGAGACUCUAAACAGUCUCUCCCAUGUCCACAUAAUUGCUGAUGGUGAGAGUUCAGCUUCUAAACGCUAUCGAGGAGCGUCAUCCUUUCAGAGCCCAGCUGAUAAAGAAAUUACGUUUUUCUAUUUUGACUUCUUAGCAUCAUGGCCACGUACCUCUAGUAGGAUAUCUCUAGUGGGAAGAAACACCUUUUACUCUAACUUUGCAAGGAUUUUUAAACGUCUCGUACAGGAAUGUGGAACACCAGUUCUAGAUGCUCUACAGGACAUACUCAAAGAAUUUUGUAGUGCGAAAGAGAGAUCAAAGCAAUGUGUGGCUGCUGAAGUCAUGGCUGGCAUGCUUCAUUCUGAUAUAAAUGGCCUACUGGAAGCCUGGGACAAUUGGAUGAUGCUUGAGCUGCAGAAGAUCAUGGUGACACCAUCAGUGGAGUCAAUUCCUGAAUGGGCAGCUUGCAUACGAUAUGCAGUUACAGGAAAAGGAAAAUAUGGCAUGCAAAUUCCUCUUCUGAGGCAAAGAAUCUUAGACUGCUUGGCAAGACCUUUGCCUCAAACCAUGGCGAGCAAUGUGGUGGCCAGGAGGUAUUCUUUCCUUUCAGUUGCACUUGUUGAAAUCUGUCCGCCUAGAAUGCCUAUUGCAGAGGUUCGAUACCAUGAUAAGCUUCUGGAAGAGUUGUUGGAUAAAAUGAGUCAUCCAUCUGCCCAAGUUAGAGAAUCUAUUGCUACGACGCUUGCUGUUGUAUGUUCCAACAAGCGGCUUUUUGCAACACGGGGACAUAGAUGUUUACAAGAGGCAGAAGGGGACAUUGACAUGGUUGAGCCACAGAAGGAAAAUUGGGCUAAGUUUCUAACAAAGAGAGCUUUUGAAUUAGCUAGAAAUAUACAAAAUGCAAAGCAAUCUGACAAAAUAGAUUCGAUGGUAGAUUUGAUUCAUGAAAAUGGGUUCGCAAGUUCAGAGGAUGAAACAGAUGUUAAGAGGAUGGAAACGAUGUUCCAUUUCAUAAUAUCAUCUUUGAAAUCUGGAAGAUCUUCUGUUUUGUUGGACAUAGUUGUUGGACUCAUUUAUCCUGUUAUUUCAUUGCAGGAAAUGUCAAAUAAAGACCUGUCAACAUUAGCUAAGACUGCUUUUGGAUUACUAAAAUGGAGGAUAUUACCUCGGCCGUUCUUAGAAAAUGCUGUCUUAGUGAUCCUUUCUUCAGUCAAUGAUCCUAAUUGGCGAACCAGAUCUGCAGCUCUCACAUAUCUUUAUACGUUUAUGUACAGGCACACAUUCAUUCUCUCAGCUUCCGAGAAAUUAGAAAUCUGGAAAAGUAUCGAGAAGCUACUUGUUGACAACCAAGUUGAGGGAGCAUGCUGCCAGGGUUCUUGCAAGCUUAAUGAAGGGUGGAGAUGAAGAUUUGUCAAGGACUUUUCGUGACCAAUCAUUUGCAGAAGCACAAUCAAUUCUCAGGAAACGAAAGCAAAGAAAUUUGGUUUCUGGUCAAUCUAUAGCUACCACACAUGGGGCUGUCCUUGCUUUGGCUGCUUCUGUUCUUUCUGUUCCCUAUGACAUGCCCAGCUGGCUUCCGGAUCAUGUAACAUUGCUUGCUCGGUUCAUUGGGGAGCCUUCUCCAGUCAGAUCCACGGUUACAAAAGUAGUUGCAGAGUUCCGCCGUACUCAUGCAGAUACUUGGUGCAUCCACAAGGAUGCUUUUACUGAAGAGCAACUGGAGGUUCUUGCAGACACGUCAUCUUCUUUUUCAUACUUUGCUUAAUUUUAUUGUAGGCGGUAAAAGUUACAUUGCAAAUUGUUAUUAAAUGGAAAAGAGAGAUCAAUAUCAUUAUCUUGUCAUAGUCUACAGAAUAAAGCUUUCUGUUGUUAUGCUGUCUUACAGACUAAAGAUCCUGUACCAAUAACUCAUUUCAAUUAAGUGAUCUUGUCUUACCAAAAAAAAAAAAUUUAAGUGAUCUUGAGUUCUGCCACUCUUUUUUACGCAAUGGGAUUCAUCAAAUCAUCAGAUUAAGUCCCACAAAACGCCGUCUCAACUGAAAAUGCUGCAAUCCCCUUUUCAGCGUUUCCACCCCAAGUCUCUUCUUCACCAUCGUCCUCGCCUUUCUUAUGCAUCUUGCUAUCCUGCUGCUCUGCUGCAUCACCACUGCAGGUGCCCCCGGUGCACAAGCUCUGGUU
This is a non-coding RNA of Elaeis guineensis (African oil palm), 6094 nucleotides long. NCBI's taxonomy places the organism in Eukaryota, Viridiplantae, Streptophyta, Magnoliopsida, Arecales, Arecaceae. The record is from RefSeq and is a predicted model, not a curated record.